AGGAUUAACUAUAAAACAGGAGCAGAUACAGUAUCUCAGAAACUGCUUGCAAAUCUAACAGGAAUUCAAACGGGUUGUAUUGAGGACAAGAAGGGAUGGACCAUGAAGAUUGAUUGAGCUUCUUCCUCCCUUUCAUAUAAUAGAAUCGUGUUAUGUCUUUUAUUUGGAUUAUCUGGAGGCAAGAUUACUAAAGUCCACAAAACUUCACUAGUGCAAAUCUUGAGAGCUACAUCAAUAAAGUUGGCUCAAGACGUGGAAAAAUAACCAUCAAGACUAAAGGCAAUGAAGUGCUAUCAAAACAUUUUCAGCAUCUCCUAAUUUUCAGUUAGAAAUUUUCAGCUUUAUCAUUUGUGUCAGUAAGUGUCUCAAUAUGUGAUCACUGCAUUUAGUAGAACAAAGAACCAAGAGAACUCAAUUUGUGGAAAAAAAAAUAAUUAAUAGUACAUUAGUUUCUAACCUUGAUACUGUUUAGAUGCAUUAUGAACAAGUCAUUCCAAGUAUCCGUUAUUCCCGGUAAGCACCAGUGCAUGCAGUCAUCAUGCCUCUUCCCACCAGCAGUGGAUGGAUGAGCAUCUGCCCUGAACUCAGUCAUGUGGGUUAUAUCCAAAAUAUGGAAAUUAGAACCCUCAAUGGCCUUGAAGAGGUGUUGAUUCACCAAACGGGAUUCCACAUUUGUUCCAUUGUUCUUUAUAGAGAAGAGUUCUUCAACCUCAAAGGGGAAAUCACACACCUUUAGCCUUAAUAAUAUUGCAACACCAAAUUGAAUUGCUAGGCAAGUAUGCAUGAGGGUACUCAAGAACGUGCACAGGUUAACAAAUUAUGAAAUCAUGAAUCUUACUUGCUCAGGCAAUAAAGGUUUUAGUCGUAGACAGGAACCACCCUGGUCCCAGUCACCUCCUUCAAAAUGUCUAGGAGAUUGUGUACGAAAGAACUUGAGCCCACCUGGAUGCAUGUUUUUCUCAACAAACAGUAUCAUGUAUUUCAAAACCUUGUCCAGCCCAACAUCAGGGGGUAAGGGUGGGAUCACAGGCUGGCCCCUCUCAAAGAAAAGCAUGGGUGACGUUACAGGGUCAAAUUUUGAAGGAGCCCACCACCAAUGUCCAGUGUUAAAGAUUAGAAUAUCGUGGAAGCUGGGAGCAUUUGCCCAUGUGCCGUCGGGAAUGUCCAUGUCAACUCUAUAGCCCUCUUUAUAUCCAAGGGAUUCCAACUCACCACCAUUAGCAUUAGCUGACCAACUACCAUAACGCGCUAAAAGAUUUGUUCGAUGGUAUGCAAUAGUAAGAUUGUAGUGAAGAAACGUAAACCCACGAUCAGCCCCAGCAGGACGCCACUUUUUCACUUCGCUUGAAACCCGUUUCAGUGCGCAAAAAAGAGACACAAACAUAUUCCUAUUCAAGGAAUCGCCAACGAAUCCAAUGUUGGUGUCUCUAUAAGUCUCCAAGAACCAGACGGGAUCGAACGGUGGAAGAUCGCAGCCCUUAGGCUGCCACCGCCACUUGAGAAUUUCUCUGGCAUUGGAUUUAUUACUAGCAAUACAAUUCCAUCCUUUAAAUAUCUCCUUGCAGGUACCAUCGUACCUCUCGGACCUCCAAUUCGGGUCGUAGAUCCAGGAACCUUGCGUGUAAUUGCAGGAUCCGGAUGGUGGGGCCGGGUGGGAUAUGAGGUUGGGUUUGAGCUGGGAGGUUUGGCGAGAGAGGAAGGGCCUUCUGGAAAAAGAGAGGACGAAGAAGAUAGAAGCGAAGCAGAGAAGAGAGACUAAGGGAAAGAGUGGUAUUCUCUUUUUCUGGUCUCUGGUAGCCAUGGCGGACUCUCUUUUUCCAGAAGGCCCUU
Molecule: unclassified non-coding RNA, 1830 nt
Filed under: Hevea brasiliensis (rubber tree)
Lineage: Eukaryota; Viridiplantae; Streptophyta; Magnoliopsida; Malpighiales; Euphorbiaceae
Source: RNAcentral